RNAcentral lists this ribosomal RNA (253 nucleotides) under uncultured bacterium. RNAcentral's name for it is "partial 16S ribosomal RNA". It matches the Rfam family "Bacterial small subunit ribosomal RNA", at positions 524 to 776 of the family's 1533-position model. The record is from RNAcentral.
UACGUAGGGCGCAAGCGUUGUCCGGAAUUAUUGGGCGUAAAGAGCUCGUAGGCGGUUUGUCGCGUCUGCUGUGAAAACCUGAGGCUCAACCUCGGGCUUGCAGUGGGUACGGGCAGACUAGAGUGCGGUAGGGGUGACUGGAAUUCCUGGUGUAGCGGUGGAAUGCGCAGAUAUCAGGAGGAACACCGGUGGCGAAGGCGGGUCUCUGGGCCGAUACUGACGCUGAGGAGCGAAAGCGUGGGGAGCGAACAGG